ACAAAUCCGAUAAUGGGUUGUGAGGUUAUACUCAUAGUCCAAUAUUUAACCGCUAGUUCUCCGGGACUAGUUGGAUAUAUAUAUGUGUGAAUGUAGACAGUGUGUGUAUUAAAUUUAUUGA
RNAcentral lists this unclassified non-coding RNA (121 nucleotides) under uncultured Rozellomycota. Its description in RNAcentral is "uncultured Cryptomycota sequence contains ITS1". The record is from RNAcentral. Lineage: Eukaryota; Fungi; Rozellomycota.